UACAGUGGGGGCAAGCGUUAUUCGGAAUUAUUGGGCGUAAAGGGCGCGUAGGCGGCUUGGCAAGUGGAAGGUGAAAUCCCUCGGCUUAACCGAGGAACUGCCCUCCAAACUGCUUCGCUUGAGACCGGGAGAGGUGAGUGGAAUUCCCAGUGUAGCGGUGAAAUGCGUAGAUAUUGGGAGGAACACCAGUGGCGAAGGCGGCUCACUGGACCGGUACUGACGCUGAUGCGCGAAAGCGUGGGGAGCAAACGGG
Molecule: ribosomal RNA, 253 nt
Filed under: uncultured bacterium
Lineage: Bacteria
Description: partial 16S ribosomal RNA
Rfam family: Bacterial small subunit ribosomal RNA
Source: RNAcentral